CCCAAUCUCAGCUUACUGAGUUUCUAUGCUCAGCAUAUAUCCUCAGCUAUCUGUCAUUGACUGCGCAAGCAGACAGAUUGGAUGCGUUUUUCUUCGUUGAAGUCGGAUACCGAUCAUGAGGACUUCAACGCGCUGUUACUGCUUGAAAAUGUGAAGCCUCAGAAUUAUUUCAACGGGAAUAAAUACGUCGGUUUCGAGAAGGAAGAGACAUUUGCCGUGCUAAAAUCGUAAGGAAUUUUGUUCUGCUAUACGUGUCAUAAUGACGACAAGAUCUAAUUUUUGACUAUAAAUGAUACACCGGAUGAGUGGAAAUUUAGUUAUUGUUCAAGUGAUUUGACUAUAAACAUGUCUAAGCAAUUGAUGGUCGGUUUGAUUUUGGUUGCGGUUUUGGGAGACCGAUUCAUGCAAACUGAGGGUGCGCCUGGGAACGGUAAGACUG
Long non-coding RNA from Sitodiplosis mosellana (orange wheat blossom midge), 439 nucleotides. RefSeq lists it as uncharacterized. Lineage: Eukaryota; Metazoa; Arthropoda; Insecta; Diptera; Cecidomyiidae. The record is from RefSeq and is a predicted model, not a curated record. The transcript has 5 exons.